Molecule: long non-coding RNA, 234 nt
Filed under: Mytilus galloprovincialis (Mediterranean mussel)
Lineage: Eukaryota; Metazoa; Mollusca; Bivalvia; Mytilida; Mytilidae
Source: RNAcentral
CUAGUUUUGUUUCUCAAAAUAGCAGAAUUGUGGUAGUCUUAGUGAUAAAAUUAAGAAUAGAUUGGGGAGUGUGUCAAAGAGACAACAACCGGACAAAACAGCAGAAAGCAGCCGAAGGCCACCAAAACUUGCAGAAUUAAAUUUCUCACCUUUAUAAACAUGUAACUGUUCUUUUCCUAUAAAUAAGAAUUAUACAGUGAUACUGAACAAUGGAGUACACCAAAUUUUGACGUG